GGCGAACGGGUGAGUAACACGUGGGUGAUCUGCACUGCACUUCGGGAUAAGCCUGGGAAACUGGGUCUAAUACCGGAUAGGACCAUGCUUUAGUGUGUGUGGUGGAAAGUUUUUCGGUGUAGGAUGAGCCCGCGGCCUAUCAGCUUGUUGGUGGGGUAAUGGCCUACCAAGGCGGCGACGGGUAGCCGGCCUGAGAGGGUGUACGGCCACAUUGGGACUGAGAUACGGCCCAG
This 233-nucleotide ribosomal RNA is filed under the name uncultured Actinomycetales bacterium. Its description in RNAcentral is "partial 16S ribosomal RNA". It matches the Rfam family "Bacterial small subunit ribosomal RNA", at positions 97 to 334 of the family's 1533-position model. Lineage: Bacteria; Bacillati; Actinomycetota; Actinomycetes; Actinomycetales. The record is from RNAcentral.